This 829-nucleotide ribosomal RNA is filed under the name uncultured bacterium. RNAcentral describes it as "SSU rRNA". It matches the Rfam family "Bacterial small subunit ribosomal RNA", at positions 60 to 899 of the family's 1533-position model. The record is from RNAcentral.
AGUCGAGCGAGAAUUUCCCGCAAGGGAGAGGACAGCGGCGAAAGGGAGAGCAAUACGUAGUUACCUACCCUCAGGACUGGGAUAGCUCCGGGAAACCGGAAGUAAUACCAGAUGACGUCUUUGGACCAAAGGUGUGAUUCCGCCUGAGGAGGGGACUGCGUCCUAUUAGCUAGUUGGUGAGGUAACGGCUCACCAAGGCAUUGAUGGGUACGGGGUGUGAGAGCAUGCCCCCGCUCACUGGGACUGAGACACUGCCCAGACACCUACGGGUGGCUGCAGUCGAGAAUCUUCGGCAAUGGGCGCAAGCCUGACCGAGCGACGCCGCGUGCGGGAUGAAGGCCUUCGGGUUGUAAACCGCCGUCGGAGUGGAGGAAAUUCCAAGGGGAACUCCCUUUGGAUUGACUAAUACUCAGAGGAAGGACGGGCUAAGUUCGUGCCAGCAGCCGCGGUAAGACGAACCGUCCAAACGUUAUUCGGAAUCACUGGGCUUAAAGGGUGCGUAGGCGGCCCGGUAAGUUGGACGUGAAAGCCCUCGGCUCAACCGAGGAAUUGCGCUCAAAACUACCGGGCUUGAGGAAGACAGAGGUAAGCGGAACUUAGGGUGGAGCGGUGAAAUGCGUUGAUAUCCUAAGGAACACCAGUAGCGAAAGCGGCUUACUGGGUCUUUUCUGACGCUGAGGCACGAAAGCUAGGGGAGCGAACGGGAUUAGAUACCCCGGUAGUCCUAGCCGUAAACGAUGAGCACUGGGUUAGAGGGUCCCCCAUAACCUUCUAGCCGUAGCGAAAGUGUUAAGUGCUCCGCCUGNGGAGUAUGGUCGCAAGGCUGAAA